GCGGACGUGGCGAACUGGUAAACGCAAGGGAGUUAAGAUCCCUCGGGCUUGCCCGUACGGGUUCGACCCCCGUCGUCCGCACCA
Molecule: transfer RNA, 84 nt
Filed under: Microvirga aerophila
Lineage: Bacteria; Pseudomonadati; Pseudomonadota; Alphaproteobacteria; Hyphomicrobiales; Methylobacteriaceae
Description: tRNA-Leu
Rfam family: tRNA
About the family: Transfer RNA (tRNA) molecules are approximately 80 nucleotides in length.
Source: RNAcentral